Molecule: ribosomal RNA, 495 nt
Filed under: uncultured bacterium
Lineage: Bacteria
Description: partial 16S ribosomal RNA
Rfam family: Bacterial small subunit ribosomal RNA
Source: RNAcentral
AUGCACGCUGGCGGCGUGCCUAAUACCUGCAAGUCGCGCGAACGGACGAGAAGCUUGCUUCUCUGAUGUUAGCGGCGGACGGGUGAGUAACACGUGGAUAACCUACCUAUAAGACUGGGAUAACUUCGGGAAACCGGAGCUAAUACCGGAUAAUAUUUUGAACCGCAUGGUUCAAAAGUGAAAGACGGUCUUGCUGUCACUUAUAGAUGGAUCCGCGCUGCAUUAGCUAGUUGGUAAGGUAACGGCUUACCAAGGCAACGAUGCAUAGCCGACCUGAGAGGGUGAUCGGCCACACUGGAACUGAGACACGGUCCAGACGCCUACGGGAGGCAGCAGUAGGGAAUCUUCCGCAAUGGGCGAAAGCCUGACGGAGCAACGCCGCGUGAGUGAUGAAGGUCUUCGGAUCGUAAAACUCUGUUAUUAGGGAAGAACAUAUGUGUAAGUAACUGUGCACAUCUUGACGGUACCUAAUCAGAAAGCCACGGCUAACUACGU